UUUUUUCCCCCUUGCUUUUUUCCCCCCUUUACCACCCCCUUCUCUCUGCUGAUCCCCGCGACCUGCGUUUUCCUAGCGAUUUGCAACUCUGGACCCAAGGCGCCAGACAGGCCCCCCCUCCCCGGACGAAUCAUAUCUCAUCAGGGACCCCCCCCCUCCCUUGACCAUGUGCAGCCAAAAGCAGAUGGCUCCCCCUACCAUGAGGAUUUAAAAAAAAAAAAAAACAAGACGAAAAUGCCAGUCCCAGAAGCCAGGGUUCCUGGACCCCCAGAGCUGAGAUGGGCUCGGGGAGCCCCACAGGGGCGGGGAGGCCGGACGAGCCUGAAGAAGUGGAGGAGAGAGCUACACAACUUAAGUGGGGCAUCCCCAGCCCAGCUGCCUGCUCAUCCUCCUUUGCGCCCAGGUCCAUUUCUACAACACCCCCCCCCCCCCAAAGAAGUCACUCGGAGGUUCUGUCUGCAGAGAGCCAGGGUGAGAACGGGCAAAUCGAGAGAGCGACCUCGGUCGUGGGCAAGUAGCUUGUUUUUACGUCCUUCAAUAAAAAUUUUAUGAGGAUCA
This 558-nucleotide long non-coding RNA is filed under the name Rattus norvegicus (Norway rat). RNAcentral describes it as "long non-coding RNA NONRATT027368". The record is from RNAcentral. Lineage: Eukaryota; Metazoa; Chordata; Mammalia; Rodentia; Muridae.